This is a non-coding RNA of Triticum aestivum (bread wheat), 135 nucleotides long. Lineage: Eukaryota; Viridiplantae; Streptophyta; Magnoliopsida; Poales; Poaceae. The record is from Rfam.
UUUGUACUCCCUCCGUCCCAAAAUUCUUGUCUUAAAUUUGUCUAAAUACGGAUGUAUCUAGUUACAUUUUAGUGUUAGAUACAUCCGUAUCUAAACAAAUGUAAGACAAGGAUUCUGGGACGGAGGGAAUACUAC